This 253-nucleotide ribosomal RNA is filed under the name uncultured bacterium. RNAcentral describes it as "partial 16S ribosomal RNA". It matches the Rfam family "Bacterial small subunit ribosomal RNA", at positions 524 to 776 of the family's 1533-position model. The record is from RNAcentral.
UACGGAGGGUGCAAGCGUUAAUCGGAAUUACUGGGCGUAAAGCGCACGCAGGCGGUCUGUCAAGUCAGAUGUGAAAUCCCCGGGCUUAACCUGGGAACUGCAUUUGAAACUGGCAGGCUUGAGUCCCGUAGAGGGGGGUAGAAUUCCAGGUGUAGCGGUGAAAUGCGUAGAGAUCUGGAGGAAUACCGGUGGCGAAGGCGGCCCCCUGGACGAAGACUGACGCUCAGGUGCGAAAGCGUGGGGAGUAAACAGG